This 277-nucleotide ribosomal RNA is filed under the name uncultured prokaryote. Its description in RNAcentral is "partial 16S ribosomal RNA". It matches the Rfam family "Bacterial small subunit ribosomal RNA", at positions 524 to 800 of the family's 1533-position model. The record is from RNAcentral.
UACGUAGGUGGCAAGCGUUGUCCGGAUUUAUUGGGCGUAAAGGGAGCGCAGGUGGUUUCUUAAGUCUGAUGUGAAAGCCCACGGCUUAAUCGUGGAGGGUCAUUGGAAACUGGGGAACUUGAGUGCAGAAGAGGAAAGUGGAAUUCCAAGUGUAGCGGUGGAAUGCGUAGGUAUUUGGAGGAACACCAGUGGCGAAGGCGACUUUCUGGUCUGUAACUGACACUGAGGCACGAAAGCGUGGGGAGCAAACAGGAUUAGAUACCCUGGUAGUCCCUGA